RNAcentral lists this microRNA precursor (68 nucleotides) under Cebus imitator (Panamanian white-faced capuchin). Its description in RNAcentral is "miRNA (ENSCCAG00000008048.1)". Lineage: Eukaryota; Metazoa; Chordata; Mammalia; Primates; Cebidae. The record is from RNAcentral.
AUUAGGUUGGUGCAAAAGUAUUUGUGGUUUUUGCCAUUUGUUUAAUGGCAAAAACUGUAAUUACUUUU